This is a non-coding RNA of Paramuricea clavata, 2092 nucleotides long. NCBI's taxonomy places the organism in Eukaryota, Metazoa, Cnidaria, Anthozoa, Malacalcyonacea, Plexauridae. The record is from the annotation of a GenBank genome assembly.
AUUUCGUCCUCCAUCCAACUGUGACCAUUCUAUUAUCUUUGCUCAAAUUUAUAUUCGUACUUUUAAGUGUCAUACUGCCAUUCUUAUAAAAUAGAUAUUUGGAAUUUUAAUAACGUCGACUUCCCAGCAUUAAAUACGGCUCUUUUACAAAUUGAUUGGCAUUCACUGUUCGACAGUGCAUUUAAUAUUGACGACGUUCAUAACACUUCGCUUCCCUAUUCCGUUCAAAACUGUUACAAUCCAAGAGACAAACCAUGGAUGAAUGGUGAGGUUUGUCAAUACGUAUAAGCGCAACCGCGCCUACUUCAUCCAUAAUAAAAAACGAAAUAAAUACUCUUGGAAAAAUUAUCGUAUAAAAUGAAAUUUAACCACAAACUUAAUUAGACUUGCUAGACAAAUCAUAUUAAUUUAAGUUACUAAAAAGUGUGGUCUCUCUCGAAAAGCCUUUGUGCACGGCAAGUCAGAUAAUUCUAGAAUACCAACUACAUUAGUAAAGUAUGAUAUAGUAAUUAAAAUAUGGCCUAAUUAAGAUUUUAACUUAAAAACAUUACAAUGUUUUUCACCGUCAUGGUGCAAAAAUGUGAUAAAAAACCAUUAUAAUAAUAACAAGACGCCUGCUCAAGGCGUUCGCUCCGUCGGUAAAGGGGAAGGGCAGCUGGGCAGCAACAGAAUUGCUUGGGGGUGAUGUAGGAAGUUGAUGAGGCGUGCUUAGCACUUUAUUAUAACCUUGUACAUACAAAUCAGAAAUGAAAGAUAUAUCCCAGUACUUUAAUUAUACUUGGUUUAGUCUACAGUAUAUAUUAUUAAUUAAAAAAUUCAUUAAUAAUUCACGAGGAAAAUACAAAAGAAAUGAAUGUUUAAUCAAUGCUUGUAAAUCGGAUAAAGAUUUGUCCUGAUUUACAUAAACGUCAGUUGUUUAUUUUUAAAAUUACUUCGCCAAUGAAUUCAUAAGAUGGGUAUUUUUUGUCGGCGAGAGUUUGUAUAUCAGAGACAGAUCGGAUGCGAAUGUUUUAUCUAGUACUUAUAGAUCGUAUACAGUUCUACUUCAAAUGUAUAAAUAGUACACAUGCUUGCACAUCUGGUUCCCAGAAGGCUUGGGAUAAGUAUCAUUGUGAAAUAAGAAGGUGAUAUAUAGUAUCUGGUGUUCCAUCAAAUUUCCACUGUGUUUUAUGUCAGUAUUGUAUUCUGGGUUGAAAAUUUUUUCUUUUAGGAUAGAGAAUGUUUCAAGAGAACUAGUAACAGUUUCCAAUAUUGUUCAGGGACAUAAUUUAUAGAACCCAUUUGCGUGAGGAUGAAUGAAACAAAUUCCAGUGCUACUAUAAGCUUAUGCCAUACACCUAUAUACUGCAUGUAUAUGCAUGUAAAUCGGAAAAGAUAAACAGAAUCAGAUACAUGCACCAUGCAGUUAGUUCUUGUAAUUUUAUAGCCAGUCGAAAUUGUACCUCGAAUAUGAUCAAAGAAACUGUCUAUGGUAUUUUCUGAAAUAUUUUGCUUUAAUCUAAAUUUAGAAAGAUGGCAGACCAAAACGGACGAGCGGUCAUGUUAGAUCCAAGACGAAAUCAAACUAUAAAAAGAAAGAAACUCUUCGAAGAAAUGUUAUUGAAAGAGAUGCCAGGUAUUUAGUGAUAGCGGAUAGCAGUGCACCAUACGAGAUUGUUGUGUAUUGUUGGAGUAUAUCCAAGUUAUUUCUGACAAACGUACAAUACAUGCAGCAUCUUCGACCCACUAUUUCCUACGACAAGGUUAUUAAAACAUUGCAAUAUCGAUAGAAGGCGCAAUAAAACAAUCACUUUCAUUAUUUUAGUAUUUAUCUUAUAGGCACCAGCCGAACAAAUGAACCAAUGCACGCGGUUCUUGAAGGUGAACUUGGUGAAAGUGAAAUGGUAGAGGGAAGAGAAGCUCAGAAUGUCAGAAAUCAUGCUUUAAUACAUUAUCUUGCAACAUUGGCUAACUCAAACAGCACCAAAGAUACAUUUGAUUUCGAUUUUGUUGAAUCACUUCUUAACAAUGGGGCAGAUAUGAACAGUACAGACAAAACUGGACAAACUGUGUUUCAUGAAGUGGCAAGAUCUUGGAAUAUCGAUGUUGCGAC